GACAGAGGGUGCAAACGUUAUUCGGAAUUACUGGGCUUAAAGAGUUCGUAGGCGGCGCAGAAAGUAGGGUGUGAAAGCCCUCGGCUCAACCGAGGAAUUGCGCUCUAAACUACUGUGCUUGAGGAACCUAGAGGUGAGCAGAACAGAUGGUGGAGCGGUGAAAUGCGUUGAUAUCAUCUGGAAUACCGGAGGCGAAGGCGGCUCACUGGGGGUUUUCUGACGCUGAGGAACGAAAGCCAGGGUAGCGAACGGG
This 253-nucleotide ribosomal RNA is filed under the name uncultured bacterium. Its description in RNAcentral is "partial 16S ribosomal RNA". It matches the Rfam family "Bacterial small subunit ribosomal RNA", at positions 524 to 776 of the family's 1533-position model. The record is from RNAcentral.